GCUGGGUGUGGUGGCACAUACCUGUAAUCCCAGCUACUCAAGAGACUGAGGCAGGGGGAUAACAAGUUCAAGACCAGUUUGAGAAACUUAGUGAGACCCUGUCUCAA
This 107-nucleotide small RNA is filed under the name Marmota monax (woodchuck). The record is from RNAcentral. Lineage: Eukaryota; Metazoa; Chordata; Mammalia; Rodentia; Sciuridae.